UACGUAGGGGGCUAGCGUUAUCCGGAAUUACUGGGCGUAAAGGGUGCGUAGGUGGUUUCUUAAGUCAGAGGUGAAAGGCUACGGCUCAACCGUAGUAAGCCUUUGAAACUGGGAAACUUGAGUGCAGGAGAGGAGAGUGGAAUUCCUAGUGUAGCGGUGAAAUGCUUAGAUAUUACACAGAACACCGAUUGCGAAGGCAGCUUGCUGGGUCAUUACUGACGCUGAUGCACGAAAGCGUGGGGAUCAAACAGGAUUAGAUACCCCGGUAGUCCCU
RNAcentral lists this ribosomal RNA (274 nucleotides) under uncultured prokaryote. Its description in RNAcentral is "partial 16S ribosomal RNA". It matches the Rfam family "Bacterial small subunit ribosomal RNA", at positions 524 to 798 of the family's 1533-position model. The record is from RNAcentral.